AGAAUGUUUCCGUUAAUCAAGAACGAAAGUUAGAGGUUCGAAGGCGAUCAGAUACCGCCCUAGUUCUAACCAUAAACGAUGCCAGCCAGCGAUCCGCCGAAGUUCCUCCGAUGACUCGGCGGGCAGCUUCCGGGAAACCAAAGCUUUUGGGUUCCGGGGGAAGUAUGGUUGCAAAGCUGAAACUUAAAGGAAUUGACGGAAGGGCACCACCAGGAGUGGAGCCUGCGGCUUAAUUUGACUCAACACGGGAAACCUCACCAGGCCCGGACACCGGAAGGAUUGACAGAUUGAGAGCUCUUUCUUGAUUCGGUGGGUGGUGGUGCAUGGCCGUUCUUAGUUGGUGGAGCGAUUUGUCUGGUUAAUUCCGGUAACGAACGAGACUCUAGCCUGCUAAAUAGACGAUUUCCGGUAUCCACAAUAGUGCUACCGGCGAAAUCAAUAUCUUCUUAGAGGGACAGGCGGCUUUCAGCCGCACGAAACUGAGCAAUAACAGGUCUGUGAUGCCCUUAGAUGUCCUGGGCCGCACGCGCGCUACACUGAAGGAAUCAGCGUGUACACCCUGGCCGAAAGGCUCGGGCAACCCGUUGAACCUCCUUCGUGCUAGGGAUUGGGGCUUGCAAUUGUUCCCCAUGAACGAGGAAUUCCCAGUAAGCGCGAGUCAUAAGCUCGCGUUGAUUACGUCCCUGCCCUUUGUACACACCGCCCGUCGCUACUACCGAUUGAAUGAUUUAGUGAGGUCUUCGGACUGGUGCGCGGCGACCGCAUGCGCGGCCGCCGAUGCCACCGGGAAGAUGACCGAACUUGAUCAUUUAGAGGAAGUAAAAGUCGUAACAA
RNAcentral lists this ribosomal RNA (834 nucleotides) under Salvazana mirabilis. RNAcentral describes it as "SSU rRNA". It matches the Rfam family "Eukaryotic small subunit ribosomal RNA", at positions 961 to 1797 of the family's 1831-position model. Lineage: Eukaryota; Metazoa; Arthropoda; Insecta; Hemiptera; Cicadidae. The record is from RNAcentral.